GACGAACGCUGGCGGCGUGCCUAAUACAUGCAAGUAGAACGCACAGUUUAUACCGUAGCUUGCUACACCAUAGACUGUGAGUUGCGAACGGGUGAGUAACGCGUAGGUAACCUGCCUGGUAGCGGGGGAUAACUAUUGGAAACGAUAGCUAAUACCGCAUAAUAUUGAUUAUUGCAUGAUAAUUGAUUGAAAGAUGCUAUUGCAUCACUACCAGAUGGACCUGCGUUGUAUUAGCUAGUAGGUGAGGUAACGGCUCACCUAGGCGACGACACAUAGCCGACCUGAGAGGGUGAUCGGCCACACUGGGACUGAGACACGGCCCAGACUCCUACGGGAGGCAGCAGUAGGGAAUCUUCGGCAAUGGACGAAAGUCUGACCGAGCAACGCCGCGUGAGUGAAGAAGGUUUUCGGAUCGUAAAGCUCUGUUGUAAGAGAAGAACGGGUGUGAGAGUGGAAAGUUCACACUGUGACGGUAUCUUACCAGAAAGAGACGGCUAACUACGUG
Molecule: ribosomal RNA, 505 nt
Filed under: uncultured bacterium
Lineage: Bacteria
Description: partial 16S ribosomal RNA
Rfam family: Bacterial small subunit ribosomal RNA
Source: RNAcentral